RNAcentral lists this long non-coding RNA (609 nucleotides) under Aquilegia coerulea. RNAcentral's name for it is "long non-coding RNA (ACOE_LNC000426)". The record is from RNAcentral. Lineage: Eukaryota; Viridiplantae; Streptophyta; Magnoliopsida; Ranunculales; Ranunculaceae.
AACAGAGAUUGAACAAUAAAAAGAAACAAGGAGUUUCAUUAUCCAAGGCCUUAAGCAAUAUGAUAUAUAAUGCAAUGCAUUGAAUGAGAUUUGUAUUCGAAGAAAUGAUGGUCUGUUAAGCUAGGUAAUGUGCUAACUGUCCAAAAACAUUAAAAAUGUGCCAAAUGUGUUUAAUAUGCAAAAGCAUAAAGAUAAACCAAUGUAAACAAGACAAAAGCAUAGUAGCGUAGAGGUGAAGUAGUACAACUGUUCAAAAGUGUUUUCUCAUGUAUGAUGUAAUACGAUCAGAGAAGUUGGGGAUGUAAAAUUCAAAAUUUAUAUGUGUGUAAGUACAAGCAGCCAUUAAUACCAAUGACAUUGUUUGUGUAAACAGAUGUAGGUGUAGAACCAAUGUAUAAGGAUGUUAACCAUUGUAUAUGGUUUAAAAGUCAAGUAGCUAGAUUUUAUGUAUUGGAAUGGUUAUUUGUAUGUAGUGAAUAAAUAUGCAGAGUUGCUAAAACUAUGUAGUAUUUGUAUCAAUCGUCAAUCAAUUUAAAGUAGAUAUGUAAGGUGACCUGUGUGCGUCAUUGUAUAAAUUUUUCCUCAUAAUGAAACAAAAUAGUCCAUUUA